GACGAACGCUGGCGGCGUGCCUAACACAUGCAAGUCGAACGAGGUCCAUGCAGUGGCAACACUGCGGAAGACCUAGUGGCGAACGGGUGAGUAUCACGUGAGGAACCUGCCCCGAAGACCGGGAUAACUCUCCGAAAGGAGCGCUAAUACCGGAUGCCCCCACCGAACCGCAUGGUUUGGUGAGGAAAUGGAUUCCGCUUCGGGAGGGCCUCGCGGCCUAUCAGCUAGUUGGUGGGGUAACGGCCCACCAAGGCAUCGACGGGUAGCUGGUCUGAGAGGACGAUCAGCCACACUGGGACUGAGACACGGCCCAGACUCCUACGGGAGGCAGCAGUGGGGAAUCUUGCGCAAUGGGCGAAAGCCUGACGCAGCAACGCCGCGUGGGGGAUGAAGGCUUUCGGGUUGUAAACCCGUUUCAGCAGGGACGAAUCAAGACGGUACCUACAGAAGAAGCCCCGGCUAACUACGUGCCAGCAGCCGCGGUAAA
This 487-nucleotide ribosomal RNA is filed under the name uncultured bacterium. RNAcentral's name for it is "bacterial SSU rRNA". It matches the Rfam family "Bacterial small subunit ribosomal RNA", at positions 28 to 524 of the family's 1533-position model. The record is from RNAcentral.